GACGAACGCUGGCGGCGUGCCUAAUACAUGCAAGUUGAGCGCUGAAGGUUGGUACUUGUACCAACUGGAUGAGCAGCGAACGGGUGAGUAACGCGUGGGGAAUCUGCCUUUGAGCGGGGGACAACAUUUGGAAACGAAUGCUAAUACCGCAUAAAAACUUUAAACACAAGUUUUAAGUUUGAAAGAUGCAAUUGCAUCACUCAAAGAUGAUCCCGCGUUGUAUUAGCUAGUUGGUGAGGUAAAGGCUCACCAAGGCGAUGAUACAUAGCCGACCUGAAAGGGUGAUCGGCCACAUUGGGACUGAGACACGGCCCAAACUCCUACGGGAGGCAGCAGUAGGGAAUCUUCGGCAAUGGACGAAAGUCUGACCGAGCAACGCCGCGUGAGUGAAGAAGGGUUUCGGAUCGUAAAACUCUGUUGGUAGAGAAGAACGUUGGUGAGAGUGGAAAGCUCAUCAAGUGACGGUAACUACCCAGAAAGGGACGGCUAACUACGUG
This 497-nucleotide ribosomal RNA is filed under the name uncultured bacterium. RNAcentral describes it as "partial 16S ribosomal RNA". It matches the Rfam family "Bacterial small subunit ribosomal RNA", at positions 28 to 507 of the family's 1533-position model. The record is from RNAcentral.